AACGAACGCUAGCGGCAGGCCUAACACAUGCAAGUCGAGGGGCAUCACGGGUAGCAAUAUCUGGUGGCGACCGGCGCACGGGUGAGUAACACGUAUGCAACCUGCCUGUAAGAGGGGAAUAACCCGGAGAAAUUCGGACUAAUACCGCAUAAUACCACGAGACUGCAUGGUUUUGUGGUUAAACAUUUAUGGCUUACAGAUGGGCAUGCGUAUGAUUAGAUAGUUGGUAGGGUAACGGCCUACCAAGUCUACGAUCAUUAGGGGUUCUGAGAGGAAGGUCCCCCACACUGGUACUGAGACACGGACCAGACUCCUACGGGAGGCAGCAGUGAGGAAUAUUGGUCAAUGGGCGAGAGCCUGAACCAGCCAAGUCGCGUGAAGGAAGAAGGUUCUAUGGAUUGUAAACUUCUUUUGCAGGGGAAUAAAGGACGGUACGUGUACUGUUUUGUAUGUACCUUGCGAAUAAGGAUCGGCUAACUCCGUGCCAGCAGCCGCGGUAAUGCUACG
This 507-nucleotide ribosomal RNA is filed under the name uncultured bacterium. RNAcentral's name for it is "bacterial SSU rRNA". It matches the Rfam family "Bacterial small subunit ribosomal RNA", at positions 29 to 530 of the family's 1533-position model. The record is from RNAcentral.